Molecule: long non-coding RNA, 1364 nt
Filed under: Equus caballus (horse)
Lineage: Eukaryota; Metazoa; Chordata; Mammalia; Perissodactyla; Equidae
Description: lncRNA (ENSECAG00000060327.1)
Source: RNAcentral
GUGAGGAGAACUCUUUCCAGCUGGGCAGUUCCCUCUUGUGCUGAGAAAUGCUAGCUUGGGGGAUGGGAUGAGGCAGGCAAAAUGAAGCUGUCUUCCUUCUCUUCUUGUGUGGUUAUUCUCAGGGUUUUUUGUUCUGCUGUGUUGCUGGAAUUUCUUAAGUGGGCCCCAGAGCUUUCCCAGAGCUGUUUUUGUUCCUGGAUAGCUGUCUAAUUGUUGAUCUUUGUGGGGAGACAGAGGCUGGGGUCUCCUACUCUGCCAUUUUGGUGACUUCACCUCAGAAAUGCUUUAGUUGUAUGCACAAUGCUCUUUAACAUGUCUUUGUAAAUUUAUUCCUGGUUUUUUAAUUUUUUUGAUAAUCAUAAAUUUAAGUUACUAAAAAAAUUUAUUUUUCUUAAUGUUUGUUGCUGGUGUAUAUAAAUAUAAUUUUUUUUCUGUGUUGAUCCUGUAUUCAGUAACUUUGCUAUACUCGCUAAUUCAAUAAUCUAUCUAUAGCUUAUUUGUGUUUUCUAGGUAUACAUCAUAUUAUUUGCAAAUAACAAAAAUUUUAUUUCUUCUUUUCCUACAUUUAUAAAUUUUAUUUUAUUUAUUUUUGCCUCGCUGCAUGGCCUAAGACCUGAGUAAAAUGUUUAUUAGAAGUGAUGACAGCAGGCAUUAUUGUCUUAUUUCUAAUCUCAGAGGGAAAGCAUUUGGCAUUUCACUAUUAACCAUCCUUGUGAGCGUGAAGUGGUAUCUCAUUGUGGUUUUGGUUUGCGCUUCCCCAGCAAUUGGAUAUAGUCUCAAACCACCACCAUUGUGUGUGCAAAGCGCCUUAUUCCCAGGAAGCCCAAAGACUGCUCCCGGUCCAGGUCUCUUGUAGUGAGUGGGUCAUAGAGACACACUACAUUUGUGGGAUCAGAUUCAACUGUCAAAGAGGAACCUGCCUGGCUCCAGCAAAACCAAGUACAAAUCCCUGACAGCAAGAGUUGGAUUCCACAGCAACGCUCCUUUCAGCUGGUAAAAUCGUUAUUGCUGGUGAAGCGCAGGAGGCCCGGGCUGCUGUUUCCCCUUGAGAAACUCAGUGAAAGUGUAUGUCAUGGUGAGAGUUGUCGGAACAUUUUGCUGCGGAAGAAAGAGAGGACCAGAGGAGAACGUUCCCUUUGACAAGUUCAGGAUUCUUUUCCCUCUGAACAGAAUGACAAUUUAGCCUUCAGAUUUUUCCUCGCUCCCUUUUGGCCGCUUAUUUGUGCUUUGUAUGGAAAGGGGGAUUUAGUGGUAGGUAGAGAGGCCUAGUGACAGCUCCCGGCCCCUCUCGCCUCCUCUCCCAUGUCUCAUACUCACAACCCGGCAGUAAACGAGGGGAGUAACUUGAGAAUUCUGUUUAUAAU